This 585-nucleotide ribosomal RNA is filed under the name uncultured bacterium. RNAcentral describes it as "bacterial SSU rRNA". It matches the Rfam family "Bacterial small subunit ribosomal RNA", at positions 102 to 683 of the family's 1533-position model. The record is from RNAcentral.
ACGGGUGAGUAAUGUCUGGGAAACUGCCUGAUGGAGGGGGAUAACUACUGGAAACGGUAGCUAAUACCGCAUAACGUCGCAAGACCAAAGAGGGGGACCUUCGGGCCUCUUGCCAUCAGAUGUGCCCAGAUGGGAUUAGCUAGUAGGUGGGGUAACGGCUCACCUAGGCGACGAUCCCUAGCUGGUCUGAGAGGAUGACCAGCCACACUGGAACUGAGACACGGUCCAGACUCCUACGGGAGGCAGCAGUGGGGAAUAUUGCACAAUGGGCGCAAGCCUGAUGCAGCCAUGCCGCGUGUAUGAAGAAGGCCUUCGGGUUGUAAAGUACUUUCAGCGGGGAGGAAGGCGAUAAGGUUAAUAACCUUGUCGAUUGACGUUACCCGCAGAAGAAGCACCGGCUAACUCCGUGCCAGCAGCCGCGGUAAUACGGAGGGUGCAAGCGUUAAUCGGAAUUACUGGGCGUAAAGCGCACGCAGGCGGUCUGUCAAGUCGGAUGUGAAAUCCCCGGGCUCAACCUGGGAACUGCAUUCGAAACUGGCAGGCUAGAGUCUUGUAGAGGGGGGUAGAAUUCCAGGUGUAGCGGUG